UAUGUCUCAAAAUGCCAUUAAAGUUCAGAAAGAUUAUGUUCAAUUUAUAUUUUCGUACCUUCAAUCUCUCAUCAAAUGCUACAUCUAUUCUAUGGGGUAUCUUCAUUCUUGCAGCGUCAGAGGGUAAGGAGUAGGGACGAUUACCUCGUAAUUAAAGCUGCUAUUUAUCAGCGAAAGAGUUUAUUAUAAUGAUUCAAACCUGGUGGGUAAGAGUAAGACUAUUUAGCUGGUGAUUGGCACGUGUCAGGCCUCUUGAUCUUUGGGACCGUUCGAUCGGAAGAUUCUAGAUAAUGAGUUUUGAAGCUGCAUGCUUGCUACUGUGCGUAAGAUAGCUAGCCUCGCGGUGACUCAUCAUCAGCUAGGAUAUGCGCACUCUAGCAUACUUGGUGUCGAAGAUUGUAAUUCCAGGUGGGGGUGGUGAUACAAACCUUUAUUUCUAUUAUUUAUAUUCUUUGCCUUCGGUACUUAUUGAUCCCCAAAAUUUCAUCAAAUUUUUUUGGCAUCCUCUAAUUAAUAUCACAUUCUCAUAUAGUAUUGUCACUUCAUUUUGACUGAGCCCACUACAUUCACAACACAACACACAAAUAGGGUGAAACUUCUAGUAUUGAUAGACUUUUUGGUUUGCAUUACUUAUUUGUAGGUCCAUAAUUCACACCCAAGGUUGAAGCUAAUUUUUUUUUUCUACACACACAUAUAAUCAUACUUAAACAUGAUUCUUACAUUAUUUAUAAAAUAAUAUGUAUUAUUUUUUCUUACAUAAGAAUAUUUC
This is a long non-coding RNA of Quercus robur (English oak), 769 nucleotides long. RefSeq lists it as uncharacterized. The record is from RefSeq and is a predicted model, not a curated record. The transcript is spliced from 3 exons. NCBI's taxonomy places the organism in Eukaryota, Viridiplantae, Streptophyta, Magnoliopsida, Fagales, Fagaceae.